This 498-nucleotide ribosomal RNA is filed under the name Triticum aestivum (bread wheat). Its description in RNAcentral is "partial small subunit ribosomal RNA". Lineage: Eukaryota; Viridiplantae; Streptophyta; Magnoliopsida; Poales; Poaceae. The record is from RNAcentral.
AUGAGAAUGAGACGUCUACUGUGCCAGGCCAUCGCUUAUUCAUAUGAUACAAAGCAGGAUGUCUUUAUAAUUAAUGGGAGACCAUGUAGGAUCACACUAAAAGAUGUGGAGCAUAUAACAGGCCUGCCCUGCAUGGGGAAGAAUCACGUCUCUUCAAAUCACAACGAUACUUUGGAGUUGUGUAAGGAACUGAAAGACCCCAGUGACACAAAAGUAACUUUGAAAGGAUUGCUAGCCAAGAUGAAAGGCGACAUCACACCUAAUUUUGUCAGGCCAUUUGUCUUGUACACCAUAGGCAAAUAUGUAUGCCCGACAACACAGCAGUAUGUGGACAAUAGAUACCUUGGGAUUGUUAGAAACGUUGAGACAAUAAAGAGCACCAAUUUUGGACAGCUUACGCUUGACUAUAUUAUGGCUAGCGUCAGGAAAUUUGUAAAUGGUGGAGCAAAUCUGGAGGGCAACCUACCACUGCUGGAGACGUGGUACUACGAGAAGUGA